AUGGAAUGAAUCUGAGAUGAGAACACUAGAGAAAACUAGUGAAGAAGCAAGUUGAUAAGAUGCUUGCUAGUUAAGAACCCUCAGUGGGUGAAACCGUUGUCCGAAGUGUUAAUUUAUUGUGAUAGUCUGCAGCUAUUACAAAAUUGAGAAUCGUUACCACAAUGGUGAGAGACGAUAAUUAAGGCACGAACACAGAAUGAUUAGAGAGCUCUAAAAG
This 217-nucleotide long non-coding RNA is filed under the name Medicago truncatula (barrel medic). RNAcentral's name for it is "long non-coding RNA (MTRU_LNC003605)". Lineage: Eukaryota; Viridiplantae; Streptophyta; Magnoliopsida; Fabales; Fabaceae. The record is from RNAcentral.